This 615-nucleotide long non-coding RNA is filed under the name Aquilegia coerulea. Its description in RNAcentral is "long non-coding RNA (ACOE_LNC001429)". Lineage: Eukaryota; Viridiplantae; Streptophyta; Magnoliopsida; Ranunculales; Ranunculaceae. The record is from RNAcentral.
ACUAUACAAAUGUCAUUGCAUCCAUUAAAGCACAAAUCAAGAUGGUAUGUCUGUUUUGUUGUUUCUUCUUCUUCUUUUUUUUUUUGUCUUCUUUUAUGGAGUUCUACCCAUCAGGCUUUUGUGUCGUGAUUGUCAUUACUUGUGAUCAUUUGCAGGUAUGUGAAGGUAUCAGAGAGUUGCUCCAACUUCAAGAAUGAUAAGAUGCACUAUAUCAAGAUGCAAUGGCACUAUCUCAGGAAAAGAAUUUCGUCUCAAUUGUGCCAACUGUUUAAAUUUUGUUGAAUUGAGCAUUUACCUGGAAGUUUGCUUGUAAAUCACUAAUGAAUGAAAGAAAGAACAGGGACACAAAAUGAAUCUUUUAACAGAGAACAUUGAUGUAUUGUAGUUGUUUAUAUGGACUAAUGCAAGUGCCAGUACAACCUUCAUUAGUUACUCUCGAAUCUUUAACUUCAGCGGAAACAUGCUGCUGCUCUGAGCUUUACUUCUGGCUACUAUUGUUGGUUUUGAAUCUUAAUAAUUGUCAGUUGUCAUCAAAUGGAAGUAGUCUGACAAUCUUAUUUGUUUGUAUCUGCUAUCCUGAUUUUGUCAUUGAAAAUGGGAUGAAAGGACAAUGAG